UGUACUUUGAGGUUAUUUUUUCCUCUUGCUUAGGGGCUGGGAGGACCGAAGAGUUGUGAGAUGAAGUCAACUAGAAUUAUCUACGCAAGUUUCCUUGUCUACCAAAUGAAUAAAAGGACCAUGAAGAUCGCUGAAAUAUGUAGAGGACAAGUGGAACACAACCUGUAGAGGAGCGUGGGCGGGAUCAGGGGAACUAGUCAGAAUACUGUGGCAGCCCAGACCCACACUGAUGUUUUCCAGGAUCCUCAGAACAUGUAAAGCAGGUUCUCUCUUGAAGGGAGGUCUGAGUGGCAUACUCCCACAGCUGCUGUAUGUAGCUGCCCUACUGGAGAGACCCUGUGGAGAGGCCAUGUGAAGAGGAGAGAGCCUGAAUCUACAUGGAGAAGGAGCAAGGUCCAGUCACCUCAGUAUCCCGGAUCCCAGGUGAGCCUCCACAGGACUCCAGCCUCCGCCACCAUCUGACUGAAACUCCCAUAGGAGAAGCCUUCCAGUCAACCCACAACAUUACCGCUGAUUCGUUUUUACAAAUUGGGAAUAUGAUGAAGCACUGUGGUUACAGCAAAAAAUGCAAAUU
Molecule: long non-coding RNA, 574 nt
Filed under: Mustela putorius furo (domestic ferret)
Lineage: Eukaryota; Metazoa; Chordata; Mammalia; Carnivora; Mustelidae
Description: lncRNA (ENSMPUG00000027266.1)
Source: RNAcentral